AUAUGUUCGAUUAGGGGACGACAGAGACUCACUUGCAUGCAUUGCACGCGGCUGCCGUUCUGGACGGAGCUCAAUUGCUGGGAUUUUGAAGUGAAAAGGGUCGCUGACUUCAGUCCGGAAAAAGCCUUGACGGAGGAAGACUCGCGAGAGGCGGCCACAGAUGAUGACGCCACAGUCACAGAGACAGGAGCCACAACGGUUGAAGCCACAGCGGAGGCCAUUGCUAAAAUCUCUCCACACUCGAAUCGCAAGGGCAAUGCAGCCAACAGCUUAGGCACAGGGGACACCGAGCAAGACCUGGUGGGUACAAAUUCCACCCGGUAUGUUUAUACGCUAGGAAGUGCCGGGGCAUGCCCCGAGCUGAGCUCUGGAACGCUCCUUGUCACCCUAUCUUUACGACGUCGCUGCAUGCAAUCCUCACCACAAUUAAACAUUUUCAGUCAACAGAUAAGUCCUUUUUUGGGAUGAAAUUUUUUCGACCAGAAGCGGAGCCGUCCAGAGGAUAAUCCAGACCCCAUUAUUCUGGACUUCAACAGCACCUUAUCGAAAAAGAGCUCAAAACAUGACGCCGGUUGUCCGGAGAGUCUGAACACCAGUGCAGAGAAUCGUCAGUUUCCCGAUGCGUACCUUGAAACGGAUGUCGUCGAGAAAAGUGUGUGUAUGCGGAAGUUGGAGAAAACCCAGACUUCAUUGCUCGAUGAAGCAUGUAGCUUCGCAGUCGUACUUCUUGCACUCCUCCAUCUCUCGCAUCUCUUGCGCAUUGUGGUUCCCCAACACCUGCACAGCGGCGGUCAUGUCCGGAUUAGGGAUCGUCUACACCAGAUAAGCCACGGCGUUUUUCUCGGAGAAAAAUACCAUCCUUUGGUUCAACAACGGUUGCUGCGUUUUCCACGUUCGGAUACAACCCUGCCCAGUUGCUGUGAGAGAUUGACGAGUGCAAGAAGACCCUCUUUCCAUGUUCCAGACGCAGGCCUUCGCCGAACUGAGAUACAUCGCAAUCGACACACCGGCCGCUUCAGAAUCAGUGACUAGCAUACCCAGCUGCUAUUGGCUUCGUCGGCUACACGUCUGAGCUUGGUACUAGAGAUUAGCUAGAACAGAAGAGCUUUCUAAUCUGAAAAUGUUUUUCUGUGCAUGUAGGAAAGUUACUUCCUCCAGCGCGUGGAUACAACCCACCACAGCAUGUGCAGACAGUUGUUAGAUUUCGGCCAUGUCUUGCUGAUGCACACUUGUAUUUUAUAUUACUUUAUUUCUUUAUCUCUUCUCACUGUGUAUUCCAUGAACUCGUGCGCCCUCUCCAAUGACAUAGCUUUCGGUUGUUUCCAUCAGCGGUUGUAUCGCUAGUUUUUGAAAUACCAUUCUUCCUCGACGAGAUGGUAGCUUUGACGGAUGGUGGUGGCGCCGUAGACAAUACCUGUGGAUCUGUGUGUUUUUGUGUGCACAUACUCGAUCUCUUUCUCUGGUUUAUCACAUACUAACAAUGCUUUGUAUUGCGUGAUCGGCGUCGUAGUCGCCGUUGCUUGAAUCUCGCUUGUCAAGUUUUCUGCACACCCGAGUGGCUGGAAGCAUGUCCCCAUUCAUAUUCUAUGGGCAUGGUUGGAUUGCACCAGACUAACAGUGAGGAGAUAUACAAAGUACAUCACCAAGCCUGUAUGUGGUCAAAGUUCCACUUUCAUCAACAAGUAGAGUAUUAACGUUUGUUCAGAUAAGUUUUCUUCAAGAAAGAAAGAAAGCAUGCUUGUGUCUGCACAUGAAGCUCAUUGGAAAUUGGAGGGUUAAGUAGAUUUAAAAGAAUGGUUUUUGUGCUAAAUGGCACAACUUUGAGGUAGUCUAAUGAGAAGGAUUUAAGGUUGUAAGAAGGGUUAUGUUUUUUUAAUCUUGUUAUUUUUUAGCACUAUUUCAUUAAUAUAGUUUUUAUUAUGAAAACAAAUUGCAAUGUAUCUUUUCACUAAACAAAAUAAAAGAAAUCCUACUCAUAGUGCAAAGAGGACAAACAUUAAUUUAGAUACUCCAAAAUCUUGCAAAUAUUUCUUUUUGUCUUGACACAUCUAAAAUUGCACAUUUGGUCAAAUGUUUUGAUGGUGUUAGCUAUUUUUGGGAUAUUUUUCAUGAUAUGUAUCUAUUUUUUUUUAAAAAAUUUAUUGCAAGAUGUCUGAUUUUUAUUAUUAUUUAUUAGAAUAAUUGUUUCUACUUAAUAUAUGGAUUUAACUUAGAGGAUAUUAAAAUAAUAAUAUAUUGGUAUUUUGUUUUUAAAAAAUUAUAAUAAGAAAUUUAUAGAUUCUAAUUGGAGUUAUCUUACAUGCAUAUUUUAAAGUUUAAUAAUGUCAUCUUGCAAGUAUAGUUUUAAUGUAAAUGUUUAAGGACUUGUAUUGGAUAUGGAUUAAAAGGUGCUUUUAUUAAAUCAUGUAACUAUGAAUAUCAAAUUAUUAAACAUCCAUUUAAAAGAGUAAAAUUUUUACUUCAAAGUUUAUUAUAUCUAUAAGAUUUUAUAUAUGUUUGGAAAAUAUCUAACUAAUUAACUACAUUUUGAAUAGUAGUUUGGUGAGGAAAUUAAAGGUAUAGAUAAAGUUGUUCAAGUUGGUUAAAUGAAAAAAGUAGCAAUCAUUUGACCAAUUAUUUUUAAUUAGAAGUUAGCCAAACUCCAUAUAUCUAAGAUGGUCUUUGUUAUCACCACAUGGUUACUAAGCAAAGAAGUAAGAAAUAGCAACCAUUCUUAUUCUAUUGUACAAUGUAAUUAAGCUUUUAAGUCUCAAGGCUUAUCUAUAUGUUUCAAAUUUCACUCUUUUUAAUGGUUUAGUAAGAACUUUUGUUGGUUGUAUAUUGGUGUUAAUAUAAUUUAAUUUUUUUUUUUUUUUUUUUUUUUUUUUUUCUAAAUAUAACUUUACAAGUAUGAUGGUAGAGAAUUCUAUCUCCUUAGUUUUUUCUAUUAGUUGACUUUGUAAUUGUCAACUUGUCAUGGACAUGUAUUUAUUGUAAUUGUUAUUCAAGUAAUAUAAAAAGGUAGAAAUAGAUAAAAGUAGAUUAAUUUUAUAAUAUCUUCUAAAGAAGCUUCCUAGAAGCUUUAUAGAUGUUGCUUUGACUUUAUAUGUGUUUGUUGUUGAUUGGUAGGUUAGACACUUGGUCAGCAAGUUAAGCACGUGCCACACAUGUUGGUAGCUUGCGGAAAAGCUAACUAUAUGGCGCCCAUAUAAAAAACUUGCCUUAUAAGUCAAGAUAUGUGUUGUACAAAGUCAACACGUUUUGGAGGUCUUAUAGAAUUUCGCCAUGUAGCUCCUAGAUAGAUAAUAUAUAUAGAAGUAAGAAUGAAGUCUUCUUCAUUCUCGUCAAUUUCUUUCUUGCUUCUAGUUUAGUUUGAAGAAGUGUCUAGUUUUCUUGUAUUUUGGCAAUAGCAAUUCUAGUUUCUUUUUAAUAUACAUAUUUUUUUAUUUCUAUUUUUUCAUACUUCUUUGAAAAAGUCUCACUUGUAUAUUUGUUUUCUUUGAAUUCUUAUCUUUGAGAGAUUGACAAGAAUACACUUACAAUAUCAAAGUUUUGACUUUUCUUGAUUAAGAAUGGAUUAUCUUUUUAUCUUGAUAAGACAUAAGCAUAUUAGAUGUUGUGGAUUAUCCUCAUUUAAAUUUGAUAUUGUUUUUUUUGUUCUCAAGUUCUUUCUUUUAUUUAUCUUUAGCAAUAUUAGACAUCUCUUUUCUUCUAAGUAUUAUUAUAAUAGAGCUUGUCAAAAUGAAUAGUGCAAUGGUACAAAUGCUAGUAUAUUUAAGGGAGUUAAUCAAUGUAUAAUAUUGUAUGCUUCACAAUUUUGACAACUUAUGAUUGAUAUCAAGUGGGAUGAUGCUGCACUCAUUAGCCAAUUUCUUUAUGGAUUAUAAUAUGAGGUAAAGAAAUUGAUGGUCAAUUUACUUAAUCCUCAAACAUUGAGUCAAGUAAUUGAUUUUGCUUUGAAGAAUGACAAUCGACUUUUUAAAUUUUUAUUUGAAAAUUGCAUAAGUAGGCCUCAAUGUUAUUAUAUUCUAAUUGUUUAUAGUAUGUAAAAAUUGACUAAAAUAUAUGAUAUAUUUAUAAGUAUUGAUGUGUAUUAGAGUGGUUAAUAGGUUAAUUUAAAGAGAAUUGAUGUAAGAAAAUUUAUUUUGAAGUUUACUUAUUUUGAUUGUAAUAUUUAAAUUAUAUAAGAUUUAAAUAUUUAGUACAAAAUUUAAAGAAAAGAUUGGAGCUCAAAGAUGAAGAUGCAAACCUCUAAGAAGCUUAUUUGGAAGGAUGAAAGUAAAGUAUGGAUGGAUGAAGGUAAAGAAUGAGGAUCUUCAUCCCUAUUGGUCAAAAGCCAUGUCUUAUAGGCUCUGAAGAGGCUAUCUGCAAUGAUAACAAGGAUUUUGGCAACUUCAAAAAGAACAUUUGAGAAUUAAAAUCAAUGAUUGCACAAAGUUUAAAAGGUUUGGAAUUAAGGUGAUGAAGUUAUAGCCAUUUGAAGUUAAUGUGUCUUUUUAAGACAUAUUGUUACUCUUUUGAAAAUACAAGGAGUUAUACAAUAGAUUUUGAAGAUCAAGAAUGCAAUCAUAAGGGUGAUUUCAACAUUUACAUCUUUACAAAAGAAUUGUUAUAUUUGGAGUUUGUAUGAAGGAGUUAUAAAGCAUUGAAGACAAUACAUGUAAUUCAAAGGCAGUACAUGGAUCAUUUUGUUGAUAAUAAUAGUUGGAAGUAUACCUUGAGUUUUUGAACAAAUUUUUGGCUCAAAUUUUCUAAAGAUAUGUAUUAUUAGGUUGAAAAACUAUAAAUAAAUUUUUUUUAUGAUAUUUAAAUAUUUAGUUUGUGAGAUAUGAAGAAAAUUUCAUAGGGGCAUAUUCAAGCAAGGCUAUGAAGCUAUUGUUAGCAUUUUAGCAAUAUCUCAAGAUUUGUAAGAAAUUUGUAAUUAAACUUUUUUGUGAUAGCUUUUUAAAGUACAUCAAUACUUCAUGUAAAUUUUAAGUUUGUUUGGAUAGGUCGAUUGUGAGAUAUGAUCUAUUGAAGUUUGGAAAAAAUUCACCUUAGGAAUAUAUAAGGAUUUCGAAUAUUUUUAUUAUAUUUUGGAUUUUCUUUAGUACUAAGAAAUUAUGUAUUGAUGUAAUUACCUAUAUUGGAAUAAAUUUAUAUACGUAUAUAUAUAUAUAUAUAUAUAUAUAUAUAUAUAUAUAACUUGAUACUUUUCUAUCUUGAGACUUGAUUGAACAAUUAGAGAUAGCCAAAAGUCCAAUGCUUUUUUAAGACAAAUUCUCUCUAUCCAAACAUUAUUGGUGCUUCUUUUGAGAGAGCCUUAAGGCACCAAAUUUUUCAACAAGUCAAGAUGGGAAAUCAAAUCCCAAGGUUUGCUUUACCAAGUGGAAUAGGUACCCAUGAUUUAUUCAAGGUAUCUGCUAAAUUUAUAAAAGAGAGGCAACAAGUGCAUUGAAAGGAUAGAAACAACACCUAAGCUUUACAAGUAGUGAUGGAUAAGAUUGGAAGGUUUGAUGAGAGUGACAUCACUAAGUUCCUUAGGAUUUAUACAUGUAAAACAUAUGUGCAUCAAGUUUCAGAAUUGAAGAUGAUUACCAUCUUUGAUUUGGCAAUGAUACCAAAAAUUAGAGGGAAGAUGCAGGAGUUGCAUACUGAGGCAAUGUGAAGGAAGAAAUUUGAAGAACUCUUGAAAGAUAAAGUUUUUGAGGAAGAUUUAGAGAGAAUGAAAAAACAAAUCUUUUUGGAGUAGAUUGAGUAAAGGCCAAGAAAUCAAAUGGCUCCAAAUGAACUAAUCAUGGAAUUUGAGACUAAAUUUGGACAAUUGCCAACACAAGAGAGGUAGCUCUUGGAAACAAAAAAAUUGGAUUAUUCUUGUUGGCAACUGUUGAAUACUUAGAGGACAAGCUGCUCUUUUAUUUAGCAAACAAGAUAUCUGAGAGUAGUUUUAUCAAUAAGGUAUUUUAGUAAUAAAUAAUUAUUAUACUACAAUAUUUAUACUAUUGCAAUAAGAUGUUCUUAUAAUAAGUUAUUAUUAUAUUAAAAUAUUUAUAUUGUUACAAUAAAGUGUUAUUGUACUACAAUAUUUUUGUUAUUGUGCUAUGUUGCUAUUGUGCUAUAAUGCUUUAUUGCUUCAAUGUAUUGCUAUGAUGAGAUGUUGCUACAAUGCAAGGUUAUCAUCUUUGUGAUGGAUUGUUGGAAUAUUAUGAUGUUGCAUUCAAAUGCUUUUGUUGUUGUAAUGUAUUGCUAAAAUAUGUUGUUGCUAUGCAAUAAUGUCUUUGCUAUUGGAAUAUGUUGUAAUCAAAUAUUAAUACAUUGCAACAUUUUUGCUUUGAUAUUUUGCUAUUAUUCUUUUUGUUUUAUAUAUUAUUGAGUUGUAUUUUUCUUCAAUAAAAAUAUUUAAGAAAAUAAAUAGUUUUUUAUAGGUUAUGAUAGAAAAUAAAAGCAUGAUACACAAAGACAAUUUCUUGCUAUUGGAGCUUGAGUUGGAGUUGCAAUGAUUGAUGCGUACCUAAGCGUGUCAAUAGUCGCUUCUAUAGUUGCAAGAUUUAUAAGAAACAUCUUUAUAAGUUAAAAGAAAAGAAUCAAAGUAAUAUAUCCUUCUAUUUCAAGCUCAAGUUAAAUAGUGCUUAGUGAACAUGUACAAAAGUAGUCAAAGAUUGCACCACUAACUUUGUAUUGAUAUCUAGUAGUAUUGAAGGUGCAUAAAUCUCAUUGUUUCUAUAAAUUAUAAUUAUAAAUUAAAUAAUAUUAUUUAUGAUAUUAAAAGAUCUCUUAAGGAAUUUGUAUCCUUGAGGUAGGAAUUUGAUAAUAAUUUGUUAAAUAACUUAACAAUGGUUAUUAGAUGUAUUGGUGUUUUAUUUAAAUAUAAGUAAUAUAUUUUCUAUUAUAUUCUUUUUUUACUUAAUGGAUUUAAAGAGUUGGAAUGUUUUUUAGCAAUCUAACCAAGUUUAAUAAUUUACAAAUCAAAAUAUUUUAUCGAAGUUAUUUUUAUGUGAUAUGUAAAUCCAUUAAAAAAACACCUUCCUUAAUUGAAUGUUGUCAUAAUACCUUUUAACAUAGUUAGGCUAAAUGAUUAAUGUUAUCAUUAGUGAAUUUAUUGUAAGUCUUAUAAUACUCUAUAAGAUGGCUUUUUAAUGUUUUUUUGGUUUUAAAUUGAUGUUGUUUGAAUUUUUAUUGCUUUAUAAUAUUUUUAAUUUUUUUGAGGGAGAUUAGAAAUUAAUAUUUUAUAAUACUUGUUAAUUCAUACUUUUUUCUACUUCCAAUCUAGUAAUAACAAAGAAGUCUAAUAUUUCUACUAAAUUAAAACAUAGAAGUAACUACACUAAGAAAAGUUCAAAUCUGUUACUAAACAAAUAAGAAAGCUUUGAAAAUCUAUUGUAUUGUAUUAUUAUUUUACAAGGGGUGAUUUUAUUACAUUUAAAAGAUGUUGGACUUCUAUUUUGUAAGUAAAUUUUUCCUUUCAAAGUACCUUUCUAAUACAUUUUUGGUAAUUUUGAAAAAGAUUUCUGGUAUCUUUUUUUCCUUUUUCUUUUCUUCUAUUUUCUUUCAUUCAGCCACUCCCUUUCACAUUUCACAGUGGAAUAUGUGUUUCUAUUACUUCAUGUCUCAUGCCUUCCUGGGCACAUUAUCUCUUUUGUCUUCUGAUGUAAGAAAUUUCUCUAGUUGAGUAUCAACUCUUAAAAUCAUGCUUAUCUAAUCGAUUCGAUUUAUAUUAUAAAGUCAUUUGAUUUAAAAUACAUGUUUGCUUAUGCUGUGAUUGUUAAUCCUUGUGCAGGAAUCAGUAACAAAUAUGUGUGACUUGACAUUCCGAAUAUUAAGAAUAUCAAACAUUUGUUAUUUGACAGAUUUUCAGAAAAAGCUUUUCAAGUAUGUCAUUCCAUAAGUUUUAUUUUGUUCGGUCUACCUCUGAAAAGUGUGCAAAUCACCUGACUGUACACUUUCAGCAACUUAUGGGUUUGAACACAUUGACAAGUUCCAUAAGGGAACUGUACCAGUACGUCGUGCCUUUUCCUUGCUCAGGUGGUACAAUGACCUGUGUCGACAGACUUAUUGGCAAUCGCCAUGUAAAAACUAUUGACAUUGACAGACACAAAGUAAUGUGUUGCAGUGCGAAGACUCAACCUUCUUCUCGUAAUAACUGGUACUGGUUACUUCUCUCAAUUAACCACUGCGGUUUUACAGAAAGUCGAGGACUCUUAGUGACUUUCACAAAAAUACUCGUCUAUUAAAAUGAAAAUAACUACCAACAAAGAGCCCUCAUCAUGAAACUUUCAUUAUGUAUCAUACAACGCAAUUACCAAAUUCAAACUACAAUCAAACUAGUUACAUUACAAUCAACCGGGUUUCGUCAUAGAAGUUUCAUGCUUUCUCACGAAAAGCAACCAAGCUUAAUGGACAACAAUCAAGCUAGUUUACGACAAAAGCACCGAAAGAAUCUGAGAGGAUUGACCUGACGCAAUUGCUGCCGUUACAGAUGUUCAAGUGGACUUCGCUAUUCGUAUCGGAGAAACUCAGAAUAUCAAGCCAAGUGACAGAUAGAAGUCGCGGCUCAACACAACUAUACAAAAUAAACUUCAAACAUGAAAAAACCCAUUCUUUUGCUUCUGGGAUGUUCAAAGUGAACUCACAUACUCAAAUACAAGAGUUCGUUGCGAAGCACAUCCAGGCUACUUUGCCGUGUGAGCGACUGACUGUCAGUGCCUCACCAUCAAAGCUACUGCUACCCGACCCAGAACCAGAGAGCUCGACAAAUUCGUUCCCUAGUUGGGCCUGGCGACCAAGAACCCGCAGAUCUGCACCUGCUUCUUGCUGUCGAAGCCCAGCACGCGGACCCAGCAGCUAGGGUACGACGUCUUGCACUCCUGGAUCUCCCGCAGCACCUGCGAAGAGUCGGUGCACCCGAACAUGGGCAACUUCCACAUGGUCCAGUACCGCCCGUCGUAGUAGCCCGACGAGCCCGACCCCGAGAAGUUGGUGCGGCUCACGGCUCCGACCUGGACAAGUCACCCCAGCGCGUCAUCAGACCACAUUUGCACCGUGACCUCGAUGCCCGCGGAACCCACUCCGGACGACCACAUACCAAUGCCUCUGCCUUCGACAAUACUACUGUCUACUCGUGGGACGCCGGGAAGAGCACCGACUUACCGUGUCGAACUCGAUGCAGGGAAUCAAGUUCUGCUGGAUCAUGUAAUCCACCUGCCUCGCGAUCUGGUCAUCGCUCAGCGGGGGCAGGUACGAGAAGGUCUCGAACUUGGGCUGCCCGAUGGGGUUCCACACCUGCGCAAUCACAAAAUCGUACAACUCUUAAAAUUUCCGGAUGUCUCAUCUCGUGGAAAUCGACUAAUACGACCCCGAAUAUGUUCGAUUAGGGGACGACAGAGACUCACUUGCAUGCAUUGCACGCGGCUGCCGUUCUGGACGGAGCUCAAUUGCUGGGAUUUUGAAGUGAAAAG
Molecule: long non-coding RNA, 9413 nt
Filed under: Physcomitrium patens
Lineage: Eukaryota; Viridiplantae; Streptophyta; Bryopsida; Funariales; Funariaceae
Description: long non-coding RNA (PPAT_LNC008235)
Source: RNAcentral